Molecule: transfer RNA, 69 nt
Filed under: Sphingomonas aerolata
Lineage: Bacteria; Pseudomonadati; Pseudomonadota; Alphaproteobacteria; Sphingomonadales; Sphingomonadaceae
Description: tRNA-Ala
Rfam family: tRNA
About the family: Transfer RNA (tRNA) molecules are approximately 80 nucleotides in length. Their secondary structure includes four short double-helical elements and three loops (D, anti-codon, and T loops).
Source: RNAcentral
GUUCGUUGGAAGCAGACGGCUGCAAUCGCACUGCAGAGGUCAGGGGUUCGAUUCCCCUCGGCUCCACCA